GAUGAACGCUGGCGGUAUGCUUAACACAUGCAAGUCGAACGGUCACUUCGGUGAUAGUGGCGGACGGGUGAGUAACGCGUGAGAAUCUGUCUUCAGGUCGGGGACAACAGUUAGAAAUGACUGCUAAUACCGGAUGUGCCUUUGGGUGAAAGAUUUAUUGCCUGAAAAAGAGCUCGCGUCAGAUUAGCUAGUAGGUGGUGUAAGAGACUACCUAGGCUCCGAUCUGUAGCUGGUCUGAGAGGACGAUCAGCCACACUGGAACUGAGACACGGUCCAGACUCCUACGGGAGGCAGCAGUGGGGAAUUUUCCGCAAUGGGCGAAAGCCUGACGGAGCAAUACCGCGUGAGGGACGAAGGCUUUUGGGUCGUAAACCUCUUUUCUCAAGGAAGAUGAUGACGGUACUUGAGGAAUAAGCAUCGGCUAACUCGGUG
This 432-nucleotide ribosomal RNA is filed under the name uncultured bacterium. RNAcentral's name for it is "partial 16S ribosomal RNA". It matches the Rfam family "Bacterial small subunit ribosomal RNA", at positions 28 to 507 of the family's 1533-position model. The record is from RNAcentral.